GUGGAAAGAUUCAUCGGUCUUGGAUGGACUCGCGGCCUAUCAGCUUGUUGGUGGGGUAAUGGCCCACCAAGGCGACGACGGGUAGCCGGCCUGAGAGGGUGACCGGCCACACUGGGACUGAGACACGGCCCAGACUCCUACGGGAGGCAGCAGUGGGGAAUAUUGCACAAUGGGCGCAAGCCUGAUGCAGCGACGCCGCGUGAGGGAUGACGGCCUUCGGGUUGUAAACCUCUUUCAGUAGGGAAGAAGCGAAAGUGACGGUACCUGCAGAAGAAGCGCCGGCUAACUACGUGCCAGCAGCCGCGGUAAUACGUAGGGCGCGAGCGUUAUCCGGAAUUAUUGGGCGUAAAGAGCUCGUAGGCGGUUUGUCGCGUCUGCCGUGAAAGUCCGGGGCUUAACCCCGGAUCUGCGGUGGGUACGGGCAGACUGGAGUGCAGUAGGGGAGACUGGAAUUCCUGGUGUAGCGGUGAAAUGCGCAGAUAUCAGGAGGAACACCGAUGGCGAAGGCAGGUCUCUGGGCUGUUACUGACGCUGAGGAGCGAAAGCAUGGGGAGCGAACAGGAUUAGAUACCCUGGUAGUCCAUGCCGUAAACGUUGGGCACUAGGUGUGGGGGCCAUUCCACGGUUUCCGCGCCGCAGCUAACGCA
This 647-nucleotide ribosomal RNA is filed under the name Micrococcus luteus. Its description in RNAcentral is "bacterial SSU rRNA". It matches the Rfam family "Bacterial small subunit ribosomal RNA", at positions 199 to 859 of the family's 1533-position model. The record is from RNAcentral. Lineage: Bacteria; Bacillati; Actinomycetota; Actinomycetes; Micrococcales; Micrococcaceae.